This 560-nucleotide long non-coding RNA is filed under the name Sinocyclocheilus anshuiensis. RNAcentral's name for it is "lncRNA (ENSSANG00000009060.1)". Lineage: Eukaryota; Metazoa; Chordata; Actinopteri; Cypriniformes; Cyprinidae. The record is from RNAcentral.
GAAAGGACAAAACUCGUCCAGCAGAACAAUAUGUGAAUUUUGUCCAAUUUGAGUCAGAAAAUGACCUUCGUGAAACUGCUUUGGCUCCACUGUCACUUAGCGAGGCUUUAGUGAUCAGACGGCCUGAUUUCAUCCAGCGCUCGCAAGCCAGAGUUCGAGCCCUGGAGAGGAGGUCGCAGGAGAGGCAGAGCUCCCACAGCUCACCGCAGACACCUGAGAGCGGAGAAAGCCUUGUGAAAUCCAGAAGCAUCAUGGGAAAGAGUCUACAGCUGUGGUCCAGGAGAAACUUCUGGAGAAGAUUUUGCAGAGAGGAGGAAAUCACUGACACUGCCUUGGACCCGUGUUUCUUCUCACUCCGCAGUUCUCAUGCCGUCCCUUGAAAAAUAUGACAUGACAUUAGUUAGAAAUAUUAUGGAAUAGUUCCUUUCAGAAUGAAUGUGCCUUAAACAUGGACUGCAGCCUUAUUUCUGUGGCUCUGGAUUACAUCUUCUCUCUCUAUACAUACACUACCGGUCAAAUGUUUGGAAUAAUUUUUUAAUGUUAAGUCUCUUAUGUUCCGC